UACCAGCACCCCGAGUGGUCGGGACGUUUAUUGGGCCUAAAGCAUCCGUAGCCGGCCUUACAAGUCCUCCGUUAAAUCCAGCUGCUUAACAGAUGGGCUGCGGAGGAUACUAUAAGACUAGGAGGCAGGAGAGGCAAGCGGUACUCAGUGGGUAGGGGUAAAAUCCGUUGAUCCAUUGAAGACCACCAGUGGCGAAGGCGGCUUGCCAGAAUGCGCUCGACGGUGAGGGAUGAAAGCUGGGGGAGCAAACCGG
RNAcentral lists this ribosomal RNA (253 nucleotides) under uncultured bacterium. RNAcentral describes it as "partial 16S ribosomal RNA". It matches the Rfam family "Archaeal small subunit ribosomal RNA", at positions 474 to 727 of the family's 1478-position model. The record is from RNAcentral.